Molecule: ribosomal RNA, 423 nt
Filed under: uncultured bacterium
Lineage: Bacteria
Description: bacterial SSU rRNA
Rfam family: Bacterial small subunit ribosomal RNA
Source: RNAcentral
AUUUUGGACAAUGGGGGAAACCCUGAUCCAGCCAUCCCGCGUGUGCGAUGAAGGCCUUCGGGUUGUAAAGCACUUUUGGCAGGGAAGAAAAGGCACGGGCUAAUACCCUGUGCCGCUGACGGUACCUGCAGAAUAAGCACCGGCUAACUACGUGCCAGCAGCCGCGGUAAUACGUAGGGUGCAAGCGUUAAUCGGAAUUACUGGGCGUAAAGCGUGCGUCGGCGGUUUGGCAAGAAAGGUGUGAAAUCCCAGAGCUUAACUUUGGAACUGCACUUUUAACUGCCAGGCUAGAGUAUGUCAGAGGGGGGUAGAAUUCCGCGUGUAGCAGUGAAAUGCGUAGAGAUGCGGAGGAAUACCGAUGGCGAAGGCAGCCCCCUGGGAUAAUACUGACGCUCAGGCACGAAAGCGUGGGGAGCAAACAGG